GGGCCUGUGGUUUAAUGGAAGAACGCCGCGUUCGCAUCGCGGAGAUGGCAGUUCAAUUCUGCCCAGGUCCA
Molecule: transfer RNA, 71 nt
Filed under: Minisyncoccota bacterium
Lineage: Bacteria; Bacillati; Minisyncoccota
Description: tRNA-Ala
Rfam family: tRNA
About the family: Transfer RNA (tRNA) molecules are approximately 80 nucleotides in length.
Source: RNAcentral